This 994-nucleotide small RNA is filed under the name Malus domestica (apple). RNAcentral's name for it is "sRNA MD10G0015700". Lineage: Eukaryota; Viridiplantae; Streptophyta; Magnoliopsida; Rosales; Rosaceae. The record is from RNAcentral.
CAAAAGGCAUUGUUAGUCACCAUCUUAUAAUAAAUGUAGUUCACUGUAAAACCAGUCCCCAUCAUAAGCUUGGGAAGAAUUGGAGGAGCCGGACUUAAAGUACGAGUACUAUCCUCGCGCCGUUCAGUUGGCCUCUAUGUUUCUUCCUUGUACAAGAAUGAACCACAAGUUUCUGAUCACCAAUGUGAUUUAUCUUGCCUGAUGUCAUUGCUAAUCUUGAGGUUCAUUUUCUGAAAACACCUUUAAUGUUAAUACCAGGGACUUGAAUUUCAAAUUUUUAUAGAAAGGAAGAAUUGACUUGUUUCAGUUUGUUUCUUUAACUAAUGGAAACUGGUUGUGCAGUCCUGAAACAGCAAUACUUUUUCUGUUCAGUUUCCAAAGGGCCCUUCCGCAAAAACCAGACAAACCUAUCAGUAUACAUCUAGUCAGUGAAUUUGAGAACAUGCCAAUCCUAUCUAGCUGCUGUACCAGGUACAAAAUUCAAAAGGAAUAUUUGGAUGAAACACGAAACUUAAUCUUCCGAACAUCAUUUGAAUAAUUAAGUCCGCCAGCUAAUAACAAAAUGCUUGAGACCAUGUCAAUCAUGAUAAAACAGACAAGGAAACACUGAGCAUUUCAUUACCAUAAGACAUCAAACACAUUUCAGACUACAAAAUCUGCAAAUUAACUGAAGCACCUGAGGGGUUCCUCAAGUUUCCCAGUCAACAACAAGCUCCUAGUUUCUCUAUUACAAAUUGCACUGAAAUCCUUCUAAUUAUGAGGUUACUUGAUCUGUUACGAGCAACUAAUCCUUGCCAAAGUGGUUGGCUCUUCGGAGUCAAAUAUUGUACAUCAUCAAGUUCGAGACUUGGCCGAACACCACAGUAAAACGGGAUUUCUUCACGGUCAUCAGGAAAACGGGGCGAAGGCUUACCCUUGGUUUUCUUGGUUGCAGCUUCCUUCACCGUUGCCCUCUUCACAUGGUUUGGGUGCACACAAGCAAGCCCAGUCAUCA